Molecule: unclassified non-coding RNA, 1574 nt
Organism: Octopus bimaculoides (California two-spot octopus)
Lineage: Eukaryota; Metazoa; Mollusca; Cephalopoda; Octopoda; Octopodidae
Source: RefSeq, a predicted model, not a curated record
UAUUCAUUUCACGAUCACCACCACCACAACAACAGUGAAUGUAUGAAGUCGGGUGGUUGCUAACCUAGACGGAAGGAUCGGCCUUGGAUUUGUGGCCUUGUGGGUUGUCAAUUUUUAUUGUGGAUCAUCUUUAGGGAGAGUGAAAGGGUAGAAAUAUAUCCGUAACAAAACUAAUCGUCUUUCGUGCUUCACUUGAUUGAAAAAAAAUACCAAAUAUAAGUAUAUAUAUAAAAAAACAGACAAAAUGUUUAGGACAGGUCCUAACUAUACCAAGUUGAGCACAAACCUUCGUCUGACGGUCAAUCGACUCAAAUUACUGGAAAAGAAGAAAGCUGAACUUGCUCAAAAAGCCCGUCGUGAAAUUGCGGACUAUAUUUGUAAUGGUAAAGAAGACAGGGCUCGGAUCCGUGUUGAACACAUCAUUCGCGAAGAUUAUUUGGUCGAAGCUAUGGAACUUUUAGAGAUGUACUGCGAUCUAUUGUUGGCCAGGUUCGGACUUAUCCAAACACAAAAAGAAUUGGAUUCCGGUCUUGAAGAAGCCAUAGCAAGCCUGAUAUGGGUGACACCUCGACUUCAGAGCGACAUUCAAGAAUUCAAACAGAUCUCUGAACAGUUUGGAGCAAAAUAUGGCAAGGAAUUCGCACAAGCAUGUCGAACAAAUGCACUUAACAAUGUCAGCGAGAAAGUGAUGCACAAACUGAGCGUGCAGGCACCGCCUAAAAUUCUAGUGGAACGGUACAUGAUUGAGAUUGCUAAGACAUACAACGUACCGUUUGUUCCGGAUGCUUCAGUAAUGUCACAGUUUGAAGAAGGUUGCUCCGUAGACAAUUUGAUUGACUUUGACUUGAACAACCCAGACAUGGACAAGAAUGACAAAAUGUUUGGUCGGCCAGGCGGAAACAUAUCUGGUGGUGGUGGUGGCGGUGGUGGUGGCUCGACGAUUCCUCCGGUUCAAUCCUGUGGAUCUCCUUUCAAUUAUCCUGCCGCAUCGAUAUCUGCUGCUAAUCAAAAUGUCCCGUCUGGAAUUCCAACGAAGCCCUCAGAAAACAAGUACCCACCAGCACCCAUCGGCUUUGUCAUCAACCAACCUAACCAACCAAAGCAAAUCGAUAUGUUCCCAGACUUACCAGCUGUUCCUUCAAACACUCUUCCAGACAUUGGUAACCAUGCGUCUGUACAAGAAUCAGGAUGCAUUGUAAGAAUAUGUCGAACCUGUUGUAGAACCUGACAACUUGAUUGAUAUUUUAUCUUAUCGACCAUCCCAGAAGGAUGAUGAAAAAAUAAAAUAAAAAAGGAAAAAAAAAAGCAACAAAAACAAAGCAAAGCAAAAUCGACCUUGGAAGGAAUUGAACUUAGAACAUAAAUAGCUGAGACUAAAGACCACAAGUGUCCAGUCUGCUAUCUCAGAAGUCAAGGAGUCCAAACUGAUUUCUUCUACGUCCACUUUGGUUGGUAUGUCUCAGAAAGUACAGAAGCUAGCAACUCCACUUUGGUAUCUCAAGAAAUCCAAAUUGAUUAUACUUCAGAACCCAUUCUGGUAUCUCAGAAUCUACUGAAGCUAUGAAUACUAUGUU